Molecule: non-coding RNA, 58 nt
Submitted as: unclassified sequences
Source: Rfam
UGUCUAACCGCAGACGUAAAAGAGCGGACACACGGGAUGCAACCCCGUAAAAAGCGUA